AUUGAACGCUGGCGGCAUGCCUUACACAUGCAAGUCGAACGGCAGCACGGGUGCUUGCACCUGGUGGCGAGUGGCGAACGGGUGAGUAAUACAUCGGAACAUGUCCUGUAGUGGGGGAUAGCCCGGCGAAAGCCGGAUUAAUACCGCAUACGAUCUACGGGUGAAAGCGGGGGACCUUCGGGCCUCGCGCUAUAGGGUUGGCCGAUGGCUGAUUAGCUAGUUGGUGGGGUAAAGGCCUACCAAGGCGACGAUCAGUAGCUGGUCUGAGAGGACGAGCAGCCACACUGGAACUGAGACACGGCCCAGACUCCUACGGGAGGCAGCAGUGGGGAAUUUUGGACAAUGGGCGAAAGCCUGAUCCAGCAAUGCCGCGUGUGUGAAGAAGGCCUUCGGGUUGUAAAGCACUUUUGUCCGGAAAGAAAUCCUUGGCUCUAAUACAGUCGGGGGAUGACGGUACCGGAAGAAUAAGCACCGGCUAACUACGUG
Molecule: ribosomal RNA, 486 nt
Filed under: uncultured bacterium
Lineage: Bacteria
Description: partial 16S ribosomal RNA
Rfam family: Bacterial small subunit ribosomal RNA
Source: RNAcentral